UGCAGUCGACGGUAACAGGACUAGCUUGCUAGUCGCUGACGAGUGGCGGACGGGUGCGUAACGCGUGGGAAUCUACCUUUUAGUGGGGGAUAGCCCGGAGAAAUCCGGAUUAAUACCGCAUAAGCCCUACGGGGGAAAAGGGGCCUCUUCUUGAAAGCUCUUGCUAUUAGAUGAGCCCGCGUAAGAUUAGCUUGUUGGUGGGGUAAUGGCCUACCAAGGCAACGAUCUUUAGCUGGUCUGAGAGGAUGAUCAGCCACACUGGGACUGAGACACGGCCCAGACUCCUACGGGAGGCAGCAGUGGGGAAUAUUGGACAAUGGGCGGAAGCCUGAUCCAGCAAUACCGCGUGUGUGAAGAAGGCCCGAGGGUUGUAAAGCACUUUCAAUAGGGACGAAAAGCCUAAGGUUAAUAACCUUGGGUCUUGACUUAACCUAUACAAGAAGCACCGGCUAACUCCGUGCCAGCAGCCGCGGUAAUACG
Molecule: ribosomal RNA, 480 nt
Filed under: uncultured bacterium
Lineage: Bacteria
Description: bacterial SSU rRNA
Rfam family: Bacterial small subunit ribosomal RNA
Source: RNAcentral